Molecule: long non-coding RNA, 7655 nt
Organism: Mesocricetus auratus (golden hamster)
Lineage: Eukaryota; Metazoa; Chordata; Mammalia; Rodentia; Cricetidae
Exons: 5
Source: RefSeq, a predicted model, not a curated record
GUUGGCCCAGAAACAUUAAAUGAGAGUAGAUGAAGUCUGAGAGCAAGUCAAACAGGAGUGCCCAGAGUGAUUGUUAUCCAACAGUUAGCCUUUGUUUCAAAAGUCACUGAAACCUGCAGCUGACAGUCUUGUGCUCAUAACUACAGCACAGUGGGUAGAAAAGGCACGGGUGACUUAAAAGUCCCACUUACCCGAGAGAAGGUUGGGAUAGCUACAAUAUAGCACAUAAGAGUAAGCCACAAAGGACGUUGUAUGAUCAGUGUGUGGAGAACAUUUUGAGAAGCAUGCUACAUAAGUAAGUCUUUUAAACUUCACCAACUUGGGUACAGUUGAAGAAUCCAAAAGAAGCUGAGGACAAUUGGUUGUGGUGCCUAUUAGCAAGCCAAGCCACAUGCGGCCCUGUAGGCUCUCUCAUCUUUAAAGGUCUAGAAGAAACAAUGGACUGUGAAGUGAAUUGAAGCAGCAACACAUUUGAAGCCUAGAGUCUCCCGAUUCUCCUGUCACUGGCCCAUAGGUGCUGGAAGGCUUCCUGUAUUUGAGCCAGGUGGCCUACACAAUGUCUACCACAGCUAUAUACUUGACAGCUCCUGGGAGUCAAGUCAGUGCUUCUAUUUAAGAACACGAGUGGCAUUCCGGUGUUGCAUUUCAGUUUGUUUGUUCUCUGCCCGGAGUUUAAGACUAUAAGCCUUCUGGAAAGAGUAUGUGGAUUUCUGAAGGUUUCUAUUUUGCUCGACAUCAGAAAGCUCUGAAUAGAACUGUGAGUGUUUGGAUACAGGAUUUGAGAAAAGCAUCAUCUGCUCAAGUAAGUAUCAUCAGCUCUAAGAUUCAUACUUCAGUCUUUAGUAAAAACAAACCAGGCUUCUUAUGUUUCUCAUUUUAAAUUUUCCCUCUUUUCCUUUGUGUUUAACUUGGUUUUAUUUAUACUUCCUCAUAAACAUAUAUUUUCAUCUUAAACUAUUCAAUCUCUGUGAGUAGACCUCGUAUUUUUCCCUCACUGAAUUCUAAGAUGGCCGUGACUGCAAAAUGUGAUCAUUUUCAUUUUAAUACUUUAUGAAUUUCUACUUGUUUGCUGUUUGGAUAAUUUACAUGUGCAACAUUUGGUUCUUAAUCACGUUGUCUACUUUGAUUCAAAAGUAAAUUAUAUACCAUGCCACAUAUAUUAUUAAUUUAAUGUAUAUAAAUUUAAACAUAUAAUAUUCAGUACAGUGUGUCUAGAAAGUAUAUAUGCAUAUAUUCCAUAUGUAUUUUUCAUAUACUACAUAUGUAUUGCAAUGUGAGCGUGCAAUAUCAACACUGUGCCAGGAGUAAAGUGGUAUCCAAUAUGUGUUGUCUUGAGUUGACUGGAAAUAUUUCAGCUAUGUCAACAAAUAAGAAAAAUACCUAGUUUUAAGAACUUUAUCAAUUUCUUUAAAAAAUCUUACUAUGGGAAUCAACAAUUCAUUUUUAUUUCUUUGCUGCCUGCAUUGAUAAGAAACUUUUAUGAGUUUAUGGACUGACCAUGCCAUUUCUUCAAAAUGCCUAGUAAAGGUGAGAAUACCAGUAUGUGCCUAUACUAGAAAUAAAAAUUUUAAGCAGUGAAAUGAGUUUUGGGUAAAGCUUUAUGUGUGAGAUAUAUGACUCAGAAGCAACUAGCUGAAAAAUGAACAAGAUAUAUGGAGCAAAAGUGGAGAGCCAGAAAUUCUGAAGGAAACAUGUACACAGUUGGGAAAGAGAACAUGAAUAUUGUUGGUACAGUUUGAAACAUACAUGUCCCAGGUAAGACUACUCCUGCCUGGGUCCUCUCAUUCCUUAUUCCCAAAGCAAUUGGUUGGCCUUGUAAAAUACAUUUACAAUGUCUCCAAUUAUUUGGUUAUUUAUCUCUCCCACAUAUUAAGGAGAUAUAUUAAGGAGGUUGAGGGCUUUCGUAUAUUUUAUCUUAAUGCCUGAUACAGUAACUUAGACUUUGGGCAAAUGAAAAUAAACUAUGGAUUUUGUAAGAAGAAAAGACAGAAUGAUAGAAUUACUAAAGAAAAAGGGAACAAAUGCAUAGAAAGUAUAUUCCUAGGAAAACUUAUCCUGUUGAAGCUACCACAAUUUCUUAGGUUCUUUAAUUCCAGAAUUAAUGCAUUUCUCACCAAACAGAGCAGGAGGAAUUACAAAUGUAUUAAAAUCUUAUAGUCAUGUCUAAACUUGAAACUUUGUCCCCAGAUUUCAUUUUUAAUUCACCAGAGGAUAGCCUUUUCUAAAAGAGAUAUUCUGGUAUUUUAAAAUAGUAUUUUAAAAUAGACUAGAGCUUGGACGAAUGAAAACAUCUUUUGAGUGUAAUGUCUUUUGUCAUUUAAGAGCAGGUCUGUUGAUUUCAGUCAUUCCUAUGUAGAGCUAAUUCAUCUAAGUUCGGGAAAAAGUGUUCAGGACUUUUUAUGCAUUUAUGUAAUAAAUGUCAUUAAAGAAGACGUUGUACUUGCCUCCUGAAAGUAUUCAUUGUUGAGAUAAGUGUUCCUACCAUAACGGUCUCAUAAAUAAUCAAACGUAGCACACAAAACAUUCUUCUUUGGAAAUGGCAGAAUGUGUAUCAUUUAUGAUAUUGCUGGCAGCUACUGUAUGGUUUAGUUAUUAAAGCUGAUAUAAACCUAAUAUAGACUUUUCUAUAUAAGCUAGCUUGGGGGUAUAGUUUAGUCAUACAGCACGUGUCAAACCUGUAUGACGUUUUGGCUUCAGUCCUAGCACCACAAAAGAAAUAAACACCAUGUAUAUUUUGAUAGAAUUCUAGCUUCCUUUUAUACCUUGGUUGUACUAGUCUUCAAAAUGACAUCUUAUUUUGGCAUUUGACUGGAGCUGGCAUAUUAUAUUAUAUCCUACUUUCAAGUCUCAACCACAUGUAUGACAAGAAAUGCAUGUUUGACAGUAACCACAAUGCCAAACAGUUCAGAAUUGUAUGAAAUCAGAGUCACAGACAUAAAUCUGCACACAUCUUAAAUUCCUCAGCGUCUCAACCACAAAGGACUUCCCUGUGAUAUUCCAUGUCCCCAGAUAAUUUCAAAAGUCAGCCCACAGAGUCACAAGGACAUAUUACUUUGAGGUAUUUUCCACAGUCAAAAAUUUUGUUCAUGAAAAAAAAAUUUGUUCAUGGCCUUUAAGGAUCAGAACUCUAAUCUAUUUUGAAAGAAACUAAUGCUUCAAAGGUAGGUUUACAACCUCAAAAGCUCAAAAUAAAAAACACUGAUAUCAAGAGAUAAAUAUACUAUUUCGUGAUACAAUCUCAGAUAGUCUAAAACAUUUUGAAGGGAAAGCCUGACAGUUCUCUCGGCAGGGACCAAAUCAUAAUCAGAGAGCUAAUUGGUGAUUUUUAAAAUAAGUAAAGAGGGUUCAUAUAUUAAGUAAACACAGCACAAAAGUAGAAUCAGAGUCUAGCUUUGCAAUGUCCUGAUUUCUCUUGACAUUUCAGAGUGAAGUUUAGUGACCUACCAGAUUCACAAGGCAGCUAAGGGUACCGUUUAUGACAUUCAUAUUUGCCUGUGUGGCUGAUUAAUUUCCACUCCAAUCGACAGGCUAAUGUAUAAUUCUCAGAUACCUACUUAGUCUAAAGUCACAGAUGUUCUCUAUGCUACUGUUCUUCAAAGGCAUCACAGAUUCAUUCUUGGAUUAUUUUUGUUUUUGUUGUUAUUAUUUUUCCAGUCAUAUAAUCACUAUCAAAGUAAACAAGGUCUCCAUCAUUUUUAAAACUAAGUUUUUACUUGGCAUACAAAAAAUGUUUCACUGUGACAUCUUCACAGAGAUACAGACACAGGCACAAACACAAGCAUAAAUUUAAGUAGCCUUUCAUAUCCCUCUGGCAAGGUCCAAACUGGUCUACUUACUGCAAAUAUGUUCAGCUGGACAACUUCAAUUGUUACUAUGUAAAUCUAUAACAAACUCUUUUAUUUACAUGAUUUUUUAUCUGCCCAAUGUCAUAUAUACUCAAACUCUCAUGGCUCCUAGUACACUCAAAAAACUGAAAUUAUUUGUCUCAUAUUCAAAUUCUUUCAUAUCUGCGUCUAAUUGUUUUUCUCGUUCAUACGUUCUUUACUUUAUUGAGUGCCAUUUGCUCCCUUGUACUUCCUGAAAUCCAGCCUUUGGCCACUCCUGAAAUGAAGAAAACAUCUGCCUCCUCCGGGAAAAAAUCUUUGUGACAGCCCAACUGUGAAAAGGGCACUUUAAUUAUUUAGCUUCACUUCCAUUAGUGUAUCUGAAAACGAUUGUUUGUUCAGCAUUCCACGUAAAAGUACUUAUGCCAAAGAACAACACAUUUUCUUACUAUCAAGGGGACUCAAGAAACAUGUUUAGAACUGACUCCGUUUGCUUGAAGGUAAAAUUGCUGUAAUUCUUAUAGGCUAAGAUUGAACUUAAUAAAUACUGAUCUUAAUAUGAUUGAGCUCUUUUUAUGUCUUGGGAUAUUUAUUGGUUUUUAAUGUCUUUUAGGGCUUUGGAAUGGUUUCAUCAAAUUAUGAUACCCUUCAAUAUUAUAUUUUCCUUCGCCAUUUAAUAUUACAGGUGAAAAUACGUUCCAAUUCUUGUUGAUCUCACAGUCAAUCUCAAGGUAUAGUGCAAAUUUAUAACCUAAGUCAUCCCAUGAAAGACAGAGACUCUAAUCGAGGUGUUUAACUCCAGCAAUGAUAUAAAAAUGAAGAAGCUGAGCAAAGAAUGUGUCCCUUCAGUGUGACAAAGGGUUUGACUGCAGCGAUGAUAUUAAAAAUAGAGAAGCUAAUCAAAGAAUGAAUUCCUGCGGUAUGACACAGGGUUAAGAAGUCGUCAGAGAUGAAAAGGCAGUGUUAUGAAGUUUACUGGAAUUGUUCAGGGAUCAGGAAGGAAACGAAAGUCUUAAGUUAGUUUAUCCACCAUUUAGCUCAUCAGGUUUCUGGUUUGUUACCAGACCUUCAUCUCAAGCUUGACUGAACAGGGGUUACCAACUGAUGACAACAGCAGUCACAACAACAAAACAGCCUACACUUGCCUACUGCAAUGAGCCACCUUGAAACAGCAAUUAGCCAAUGAAGCAAGUUACAAGAACGUCCUUCCACUGAAGUCUACAAAAUGUCCCAUUACGAGAACCUGCGAUGUUUUCUUGGAUUGUAGAUCAAAUGAUAGUUCAACUUAACUUGAAAUAGGAGCCUGCUAUCAUAAACGUACCUUGUCCUUGGGUUACUCCAUAAAAUUCAGCUGCUAUCCUGGCGGCCUCCUUUCGGUUGCCUUUCACGAUGUAGAAAUGACUAAGGAUGGCAAGGCUGAUUUUCACAAAAAGUUUAAAACAGAAAAGGGAGAGUAUCGUAAAAUAGACAUUGGAUAGCUGUUGAGCAAACGGCCGGCUCUCUUCUAACACCGACAUUGCUGAAGAGGAAUCUGCCGCGGUGCUAAUGCCAGCCGAGUCUCAACUGUGCCUGGCUCUGUUCCGGGGUGCUCUUGAACAGCUGGUCCUCGGGAAAGAAAAUAUCAACUGGUAAUGAUGUCUACGGCUCAAAUUAUUUAUACCGUCCAUAAAAGUUCUUCACUAGCUCCUAUUGGUCUGACAAUAUUCCAUGGAAGCAACCAAAUCACGUUUCGCAAGCCUCCUGACUUUCCAUUCUCCAUAUAAAAUGAUACACCGUCCUUCUGUUCUGGGCUGCAGGAGUCAAGUAUUGAAAUAAAUAAUUCUGAUGGUUUCCUUUUUUGGUAUGUAAUUAUCAACAACUGCAGGGCGGCGAGAUGGCUCAUAAAAGCUCCUGGCAUCAAGCCUGGAGACCUGAUUUACAUCACUCGGACCCACACAGUGGAAGGAGGGUGCCAACUUCUGUUUGUUCUCUGAAUUCCAUACACACACACAUACACACUAAAUGUAAUUUUAAAAGGAAAUUGAAAGUUUUGUGUAUACUAUACACAUGAUUCAUGUAAAAAUAUAUAUCAUACUAAGAGAAGUUCAUUGUUUUAGCUCAAGGGUUUAAAUUGGUUGACCUUGAGCUAAAUCAACAAAUAGUCCAUGGAUAGGACCUGAAUAAGGACCCAUUGAAGUAACUGAAUACAUAGACUUUAUGUUAUGCAAGAGUUUAUAUUUUUUAUAAAUUAAACUGCCUCAACAUGUAUUAAUGGACUUAAACUGUCAGGGUAACCUUUUCAAACACCUACCAGCUGUUUUCGAUAUGCUGAGGAGACCAAGAAGUACUAACAGUGUCUGUGACUUGUGCAGCACGGUUUUAGAGGAGAAAUGAAAGAACUCAGAUAGAUACAAGACAAGGCAUCAUGGCUGCAUACACAAAAAGAGGAAAUGAGAGGACUUCCUGGGUAUGAGGGAUGGUACACAAAAGAAUGAUCAAACAAACAUAACUGUUUCACAAAAAACUGCAAAACCAAACAAACUAAACUUAAUCAUAGGUCAGUAAUGAUCAACCUAAAAUGUAUUUCUAGACCUAUAAUCUUGGAUAACUAUGACUCAUUUUUUAAUGAAAUACUGCAUAUGGGAUUUUAUGCAUACAGGAGUAGUCACAUAUAAAUGACAGUUUAAAAGAGAAAUAGAAUCAAUUACUUAGAAAAAUGAUGUACAGCACUUUGUUUCAUAAAUUCCAUUUUCUUUUAUUUCUUUUUGAAGUAAUACUUUUCCUCGCUAACAGUUGAGCAUUUAAGUGAAAGAAAAAUGCACUAAUACAAAGUACUGUAAUAGUGUUUACAUCACCAGAUUUAGGGUCUGCUCAUUUCAGAUCAUUUCUUAAUUCUGCUAAGUUUCAAAGUAACAAGACACAAACAAACAACAAUGACCCUGGCUGAAUAGGUAUUAUAUUCGUGAUGUGGCAUACUGAUGAGUGUGACUUGUUAUUUUCAUGCUGUGUAUCUUAACAAAAGAGUCAGCCUUUCACCAAAUAUUCCUAAGAAAAUGGAGAUAUGACGGUUGAAUACAUGUGCCAUUUGGGACAUUGUAUAAACUACUGUUGAGGCGCUGAAGACAAAGUGACCACAUGGUCCUCUCUACCACCGAUAUGGAAACUGUGUCAAGCAAAUGAACUCACUGAAAUUAUGUUCCGGUGAGUCUUCUGUCUGGCAUGGUGGUGCCUGAGCACACACUGGAAUCGAGCCUGUGGACAGCUGGCUCAUCACAAUGCUCUGAGUCAUGGCGUGACUUCCAGUGCUUUGGAAUCAGAAAUAAACCUCCCUUAGUCACAUCUAAGUGCCUGUCUAAGGUUUCGCCCCUUUCUCUUACCAGUAAAUGCUAUUAUAAAUAAUUCCCUGCACAGCAGCUACUCAGCAGCCUAAAUUCCUUAGGGGCUAAGAGACACUUCCAUUCACUAACGCUGUCGUCAUUAGCUCAACAAGCUUAAAUCCCUCCGGCUUUGCUAGGAGAAAACACUACUACACAAUAUUUAGGAUUUUAUUUCCAGAUGUCAAAUUUAGGUUUUUUUCAUAAAUCCCUUCAUUCAUUCGCACAUCUUUGUUUAAUGACAUGUUAUAAAAUUUGUCACCUGAUAGUUUCUUAAUUUGAUGGUCUAAGAAAAUAGCAUGAUAAAUGAACUCAGAAAUACAAGUCAGAUGCUAACUUCCACAUAAAAGACUCCAAAACGACAUCUUAAAGGAUUGGUAAUAUAUAAAAGACCAUGAAAAGUAUCUGUACAUCCAUUUUCUUGUCUUUAGAAUUUUUUCCCCUGGCUCAAAUAAAAUUUUUGCUUUUUCCUCUUUCA